GUCCUAGCCGUAAACGUUGGGUGCUAGGUGUGGGUGGACAUCAACCCCAUCCGUGCCGAAGCUAACGCAUUAAGCACCCCGCCUGGGGAGUACGGCCGCAAGGCUAAAACUCAAAGGAAUUGACGGGGGCCCGCACAAGCGGCGGAGCAUGUGGCUUAAUUCGAUGCGACGCGAAGAACCUUACCUGGGCUUGACAUGCGGGGUGAAACCGUGGAAACACGGCGCUCUUCGGAGCCCGCACAGGUGGUGCAUGGCUGUCGU
RNAcentral lists this ribosomal RNA (261 nucleotides) under uncultured bacterium. Its description in RNAcentral is "partial 16S ribosomal RNA". It matches the Rfam family "Bacterial small subunit ribosomal RNA", at positions 793 to 1055 of the family's 1533-position model. The record is from RNAcentral.